UGGGGAAUAUUGGACAAUGGGCGAAAGCCUGAUCCAGCCAUGCCGCGUGUGUGAAGAAGGCCUUUUGGUUGUAAAGCACUUUAAGCGAGGAGGAGGCUACUUAGAUUAAUACUCUAGGAUAGUGGACGUUACUCGCAGAAUAAGCACCGGCUAACUCUGUGCCAGCAGCCGCGGUAAUACAGAGGGUGCGAGCGUUAAUCGGAUUUACUGGGCGUAAAGCGUGCGUAGGCGGCUUUUUAAGUCGGAUGUGAAAUCCCUGAGCUUAACUUAGGAAUUGCAUUCGAUACUGGGAAGCUAGAGUAUGGGAGAGGAUGGUAGAAUUCCAGGUGUAACGGUGAAAUGCGUAGAGAUCUGGAGGAAUACCGAUGGCGAAGGCAGCCAUCUGGCCUAAUACUGACGCUGAGGUACGAAAGCAUGGGGAGCAAACAGG
RNAcentral lists this ribosomal RNA (430 nucleotides) under Bacillota bacterium. RNAcentral's name for it is "Firmicutes bacterium partial 16S ribosomal RNA". It matches the Rfam family "Bacterial small subunit ribosomal RNA", at positions 355 to 776 of the family's 1533-position model. Lineage: Bacteria; Bacillati; Bacillota. The record is from RNAcentral.